Non-coding RNA from Paramormyrops kingsleyae, 2114 nucleotides. The record is from RefSeq and is a predicted model, not a curated record. NCBI's taxonomy places the organism in Eukaryota, Metazoa, Chordata, Actinopteri, Osteoglossiformes, Mormyridae.
AUUAAUAAAAUCCCCGGAGACUCUCCAGGCAUGAAUAGUCAAACCCUGAUUUAAGAGCUAACCCUACUUUAGCCGUGUCAUACACAAAGCUCAGUGGGUUAUGUACAGUAGAAGGUUGCUGGUUCAAAUCCCUUGCUCAGCAGAGCCUUUGAGCAAAACCUUUACUUAUUUCAAUGAAUGGUUGACCCUUUGGGCAAAUAAUCGAUAUCCUGCAUAUUGGGGAAUUAUAACUAUAAUGAAAGAACUGAUUGAAAUUAGCUGCUUGGCUGCUUGUCUGUAUCGUAAUUAAGGGCAGUAAUAUUUGGUUCAUGUGGCCCCUUAGUACAAAUGAAAUAAAUCGAGUUUUACAUACAUAGUCUCCAAGAGCCAUGGUAUUUAUAUCAGCGUUGGUGAUUUGAUUCCGAUUCGUAGCUGGUCAUUCACGGGCAUGUUUCGUGUGGGAUUACCAUGUACAUUAUGGGAUGAUUGGUUCUCAGUAAUGGAUGAAUGGGAUAUAAGAUUGUCACCAUCUAUUAAGAAGAUGAUGUUCAAAUUAGAUAAGUGUCCCCAUUAUCUGUAUUAAGAAGAAUGCAUGUCACAUGCAACUGUUUAUUAAGAUGUGUUGGUCCCAGCAUAGGCUGAUGAUGUCAGUAAGAUCUGACCAUAGUUUAUGAUGCAAUGGUGGGAAUGACUUUGCUAGGUCAGUAGUAUCGCUUCAUAGCUUUUAUUUGCAGCCUCAUAAUUUAUUUAGCAGAUGCUUUUAUCCAAAGUGAUAUGCAAGGUCAGAUAGUCCCUGGAGCAAUUAGGGGUUAAGGGCCUUGCUCAGGGACCCAAUGGUAAACUCACUCUGCUGAUUCUGGGAUUCAAACCAGCACCCAUCUGAUUACAGGCCUAGUGUCCUAAUCCGCUGAGCCACACACUGCUUUAAGUCGAUGGGAGGUCAUGUUAGUGGUGCUGGUAGGUCUUCGUCUAGAUACUGCCGUCUGCCUCCCUUUGAGAUUGAACGAGUCAGUAAGAAGCCCGGAUGCUGUGUGAAAAUCACUGCUUAAUUGGCAGUGGCUGAUCUAUCUCACGGUAUUCCCUAGGGAGCAGGUGGGCGGUGAUGAGGAGGGUGCACCCGGCCCUCACUCUAGAGCUUAUAACAGUCUGAGCUCCUAAGGACUGCGGGCGUCCAUCGCACUACAUCGGCAUUUUCUUGCCGUGAAAGUCAGUGCAAAUUCGGCGCCCUGCUUCAAACGGGGUUCGAUUUCCGAGGCUCGUCAGGAAGCCUGGUACCCGUGCUGCCGCCGUCAUGUCUCUUUGCUUAAUCCCUUUCCUGCCGGGGAAGGCUUUGACAGCAGGCUUCACUCCCGCACAGGCCCGCUGAGUAGAUGUGCUGGGUCAGUGAGAUGCCCCGCACCAAGGUAUGCUUGGGAAUUACGUAGCAUUGAACCUUUAAAUUCCAGAUUUAGAUCAGGAAGGGGGCUAAUGUUCACUGGAAAUUAAAAAUCGAAACUGCAGUAAUUCAGGAGGUUUUAGUGCGUCGACUAAGUGGCAAAAUAGUAAUUAUGUCAUUGUGAUAUUUAAAAAUGAUAAAUUCUAAAGCUGCUGUCAUUAAGCUAUAAAUGAGAGCUGUUAGCUGGUGACAUGGGACUGGCCAGCACUCUCAUGCUUUGGAUAAUUCGCCUCCUUGUUUUGGCAGCUAUCGGGCCUGCAGAGCCGGUUUUGUCUUUCCCUUCUACGCAGCCCGCUUGGAGGCCUUCGGCCCGGCCGGACAGAUGUGCCCCUAAGGCCUGCUUCAACCUGCGGAUGCUAACCUGCUGCACAAAUGCCCAAUAUUCCCAGCACCGCCGUCUUCCGAAGCCCUUCACCGUUCAGAACACGAUUUCGAUGCUUUCUCAACUCCAGAUGUGAAAUUCCAGCCAUAGCGGCCUGAGGCAUAUAUAACGUCUGGAGAACUUCUGUGUCCCAAAGGUCACAGCGGAUAUCAGCUUGGAUGCCUCAAGGUUUAGUCCUUGUUCUGCUCCUCUCUAGGACAACAUGCCCCUGCUGGGAUCUCUGCAUGCCUGGUCCACACUGCAGCCUGGAUUAUCUCUUCCAGCUGAACAUCUCAAAGGCCGAGCUUCUGGUCUUCUCUGCCAUCCCUACUGUUAACG